Molecule: long non-coding RNA, 430 nt
Organism: Eriocheir sinensis (Chinese mitten crab)
Lineage: Eukaryota; Metazoa; Arthropoda; Malacostraca; Decapoda; Varunidae
Exons: 3
Source: RefSeq, a predicted model, not a curated record
CGAGGUCCGAGUAACUCCCCCGGUGAAGGUGUGCAAGCUGAUACAUGUAUGCGGCAUGCUCCACAACAUCUGCAAGGACAGGAAUAUUCCCAUUCCUCUCGAUGCGGCUCAACCUAACGCUGAAGAAGUGGAUCUUGCCAUGGCACAACCUGAAGGUGUGCAAGUUGUGCCGCCACUUCCAGCUGGUCAGCGGAAUGAAGGUCGCCUGUAUCGAGAUGAAUUCUGCAACUUGCAUUUCCACAAUGAAGACUGAAACCCGUUCCUCAGCACGACUGGACAAGUACAUGCCAAGCUGCCUCCCGUGCCCUUUCAGCUGCCUCCUGCGCCCUUGCAGCUGCCUCCUGCGCCCUUGCAGCUCCUGUGAAGGUCCGAGCACAAGCCGCCACCUCCUCUGCUGCUGCCUUCAUGGCCCGUGCAGCCUCCUCCCCAG